GGGGCGGUAGCUCAAUUGGGAGAGCAUCGGCUUUGCAAGCCGGGGGUUGCCGGUUCAAUCCCGGUCCGCUCCACCA
Molecule: transfer RNA, 76 nt
Filed under: Binatus soli (SeqCode)
Lineage: Bacteria; Candidatus Binatota; Binatia (SeqCode); Binatales (SeqCode); Binataceae (SeqCode)
Also listed under: 6 other names
Description: tRNA-Ala
Rfam family: tRNA
About the family: Transfer RNA (tRNA) molecules are approximately 80 nucleotides in length. Their secondary structure includes four short double-helical elements and three loops (D, anti-codon, and T loops).
Source: RNAcentral